Molecule: ribosomal RNA, 414 nt
Filed under: uncultured bacterium
Lineage: Bacteria
Description: bacterial SSU rRNA
Rfam family: Bacterial small subunit ribosomal RNA
Source: RNAcentral
GUGGCGAAAGGGUGAGUAACACGUCGAGGAACCUGCCCCCGUGGACCCGGAACAAGGACCUGUGAAAACGGGUCUGAAACCGGAUGAGGCCCCUUCCCGCAUGGGAGGUCGGCCAAAUAAUUCAUAGCCAGGGGAUGGCCUCGCGCCCAUUAGCUUGUUGGCGGGGUAGCGGCCACCAAGGCGACGACGGGUAGGUGGUCUGAGAGGAUGGUCACCCACACUGGGACUGAGACACUGCCCAGACUCCGUACGGGAGGCUGCAGGUCGAGAAUCUUCCGCAAGUGGGCGCAAGCCUGACGGAGCGAUGCCGCGUGAGGGAGGAAGGCCUUCGGGUCGUAAACCUCUGUCGAGGGGAACGAACGCAAUGACGGUACCCCUCAAGAAAGCCACGGCUAACCACGUGCCAGCAGCCGC